GUCCCACCUGACCCCAUGCCGAACUCAGAAGUGAAACGCCGUAGCGCCGAUGAUAGUGUGGGGUCUCCCCAUGCGAGAGUAGGGAACUGCCAGGC
RNAcentral lists this ribosomal RNA (95 nucleotides) under Escherichia coli. Lineage: Bacteria; Pseudomonadati; Pseudomonadota; Gammaproteobacteria; Enterobacterales; Enterobacteriaceae. RNAcentral also lists the same sequence under 1 other name. The record is from RNAcentral.